Molecule: ribosomal RNA, 1286 nt
Filed under: metagenome
Description: bacterial SSU rRNA
Rfam family: Bacterial small subunit ribosomal RNA
Source: RNAcentral
UGAGGGGGAAAGUGGGGGAUCGCAAGACCUCACGUUAUUCGAGCGGCCGACGUCUGAUUAGCUAGUUGGUGGGGUAAUGGCUCACCAAGGCGACGAUCAGUAGCGGGUCUGAGAGGAUGAUCCGCCACACUGGGACUGAGACACGGCCCAGACUCCUACGGGAGGCAGCAGUGGGGAAUUUUGGACAAUGGGGGCAACCCUGAUCCAGCCAUUCCGCGUGAGUGAAGAAGGCCUUCGGGUUGUAAAGCUCUUUCAGCAGGAACGAAACGGUAGGGGCUAAUACCCUCUGCUAAUGACGGUACCUGCAGAAGAAGCACCGGCUAACUACGUGCCAGCAGCCGCGGUAAUACGUAGGGUGCGAGCGUUAAUCGGAAUUACUGGGCGUAAAGCGUGCGCAGGCGGAUUGUUAAGCAAGACGUGAAAUCCCCGGGCUUAACCUGGGAAUGGCGUUUUGAACUGGCAGUCUAGAGUGUGUCAGAGGGGGGUGGAAUUCCACGUGUAGCAGUGAAAUGCGUAGAGAUGUGGAGGAACACCAAUGGCGAAGGCAGCCCCCUGGGAUAACACUGACGCUCAUGUACGAAAGCGUGGGUAGCAAACAGGAUUAGAUACCCUGGUAGUCCACGCCCUAAACGAUGUCAACUGGUUGUUGGGGGAGUGAAAUCCCUUAGUAACGAAGCUAACGCGUGAAGUUGACCGCCUGGGGAGUACGGUCGCAAGAUUAAAACUCAAAGGAAUUGACGGGGACCCGCACAAGCGGUGGAUGAUGUGGAUUAAUUCGAUGCAACGCGAAAAACCUUACCUACCCUUGACAUGUCCAGAAUCCUGCAGAGAUGCGGGAGUGCCCGAAAGGGAAUUGGAACACAGGUGCUGCAUGGCUGUCGUCAGCUCGUGUCGUGAGAUGUUGGGUUAAGUCCCGCAACGAGCGCAACCCUUAUCAUUAGUUGCUACGCAAGGGCACUCUAAUGAGACUGCCGGUGACAAACCGGAGGAAGGUGGGGAUGACGUCAAGUCCUCAUGGCCCUUAUGGGUAGGGCUUCACACGUCAUACAAUGGUCGGUACAGAGGGUUGCCAAGCCGCGAGGUGGAGCCAAUCCCAGAAAGCCGAUCGUAGUCCGGAUUGUUCUCUGCAACUCGAGAGCAUGAAGUCGGAAUCGCUAGUAAUCGCGGAUCAGCAUGUCGCGGUGAAUACGUUCCCGGGUCUUGUACACACCGCCCGUCACACCAUGGGAGUGGAAUCUGCCAGAAGUAGGUAGCCUAACCGCAAGGAGGGCGCUUACCACGGUGGG